AAACGAUGUCGACUUGGAGGUUGUGCCCUUGAGGCGUGGCUUCCGGAGCUAACGCGUUAAGUCGACCGCCUGGGGAGUACGGCCGCAAGGUUAAAACUCAAAUGAAUUGACGGGGGCCCGCACAAGCGGUGGAGCAUGUGGUUUAAUUCGAUGCAACGCGAAGAACCUUACCUGGUCUUGACAUCCACGGAAGUUUUCAGAGAUGAGAAUGUGCCUUCGGGAACCGUGAGACAGGUGCUGCAUGGCUGUCGUCAGCUCGUGUUGUGAAAUGUUGGGUUAAGUCCCGCAACGAGCGCAACCCUUAUCCUUUGUUGCCAGCGGUCCGGCCGGGAACUCAAAGGAGACUGCCAGUGAUAAACUGGAGGAAGGUGGGGAUGACGUCAAGUCAUCAUGGCCCUUACGACCAGGGCUACACACGUGCUACAAUGGCGCAUACAAAGAGAAGCGACCUCGCGAGAGCAAGCGGACCUCAUAAAGUGCGUCGUAGUCCGGAUUGGAGUCUGCAACUCGACUCCAUGAAGUCGGAAUCGCUAGUAAUCGUGGAUCAGAAUGCCACGGUG
Molecule: ribosomal RNA, 560 nt
Filed under: Shigella sp.
Lineage: Bacteria; Pseudomonadati; Pseudomonadota; Gammaproteobacteria; Enterobacterales; Enterobacteriaceae
Description: bacterial SSU rRNA
Rfam family: Bacterial small subunit ribosomal RNA
Source: RNAcentral